Molecule: long non-coding RNA, 1209 nt
Filed under: Lonchura striata (white-rumped munia)
Lineage: Eukaryota; Metazoa; Chordata; Aves; Passeriformes; Estrildidae
Description: domestica (Bengalese finch) lncRNA (ENSLSDG00000003360.1)
Source: RNAcentral
ACUGGUGGCACUGGGGAUGGUGGCUCCAGGACAGACUGUGGCACACACUGGGGGUGACCAGUGACACCAGACAUGGUGGCACUGGGGAAAGUGGGGACAGUAGGGAUGGUGGCACCAGUGGCACUGGAGACACUGGGGACACUGGUGGCACUGGGGAUGGUGGCACUGGGGAUGGUGGCACUGGGGAUGGUGGCACUGGGGACACUGGGGACACUGGUGGCACUGGGGAUGGUGGCACUGGGGACACCGGUGGCACUGGGGACACCGGUGGCACUGGGGAUGGUGGCACUGGGACACGCUGGGUGACAGGUGGCAGUGCUGCCACUGGGGAUGGUAUCAGCAGGGGGGACACUGGGGGUGACAGCGGUGGCGCCACUGGUGGCACUGGUGACAAUGACAGCACUGGUGACACUGGUGAUGGUGGCAGCGGUGACAUUUAUGGCAGCGGAUGGUGACAGCAGUGACAGUGGCACCGCUGGCACCGGUGACACCGGUGGCAGUGGAUGGUGGCAGCGGUGACAGCAGUGGAUGGUGGCAGCGGUGACAGCAGCGGAGGAUGGCAGCGGUGGUGGCACUGGAUGGUGACAGUGGGGACAGCAGGGGUGGCACUGGCGGCCCUGGGAAGGUGGCAGCGGGGUGACAGCGGUGGCACUGACGAGCUGGCACUGCUGUCCCUGUCCCAGCACUGGGGGUGGCACUGGUGGCCCUGUCCCUGUCCCCAAUGGCCCUGUCCCUGUCCCUGGUGGCACCGGGGAGGUGACAGCGGUGGCCCUGUCCCUGUCACCGGUGGCCCUGUCCCUGUCCCUGGUGGCACCGGGGAGGUGACAGUGGUGGCACUGCUGUCCCUGUCCCAGCACUGGGGGGUGGCACCGGUGGCCCUGUCCCUGUCCCCGGUGGCACCGGGGAGGUGACAACGGUGGCACCGGUGUCCCCUGGGCACCGCCGGUGACACCGGUGGCCCUGUCCCUGUCCCCGGUGGCACUGGGGAGGUGACACCGGUGGCACCGGCGUCCCCCUGGCACCACUGAUGACACCGGUGGCCCUGUCCCUGUCCCUGGUGGCACUGGGAGGGCGGCAGCAGAGUGAGGUGGCACUGGUGUCCCCCUGGCACCGCCGGUGACACCGGUGGCCCUGUCCCUGUCCCCAGCCGCGAGGGUGGCACUGCUGACCCUGCUCCUGGUGACAGUGGUGGCACCGGUGGCCCUGUCC